Molecule: ribosomal RNA, 253 nt
Filed under: uncultured bacterium
Lineage: Bacteria
Description: partial 16S ribosomal RNA
Rfam family: Bacterial small subunit ribosomal RNA
Source: RNAcentral
UACAGAGGGGGCAAGCGUUGUUCGGAAUUACUGGGCGUAAAGGGCGCGCAGGCGGCCGUCUAAGUCAGACGUGAAAUCCCUCGGCUCAACCGGGGAACUGCGUCUGAUACUGGGUGGCUUGAAUUCGGGAGAGGGAUGCGGAAUUCCAGGUGUAGCGGUGAAAUGCGUAGAUAUCUGGAGGAACACCGGUGGCGAAGGCGGCAUCCUGGACCGAGAUUGACGCUGAGGCGCGAAAGCCAGGGGAGCAAACGGG